Molecule: ribosomal RNA, 443 nt
Filed under: uncultured bacterium
Lineage: Bacteria
Description: partial 16S ribosomal RNA
Rfam family: Bacterial small subunit ribosomal RNA
Source: RNAcentral
CCUACGGGAGGCAGCAGUGGGGAAUAUUGGGCAAUGGGCGCAAGCCUGACCCAGCAACGCCGCGUGAAGGAAGAAGGCUUUCGGGUUGUAAACUUCUUUUCUCAGGGACGAAGAAAGUGACGGUACCUGACGAAUAAGCCACGGCUAACUACGUGCCAGCAGCCGCGGUAAUGCGUAGGUGGCAAGCGUUCUCCGGAUUUAUUGGGUGUAAAGGGCGUGUAGGCGGGAGCGCAAGUCAGAUGUGAAAACUCAGGGCUCAACCCUGAGCCUGCAUUUGAAACUGUGUUUCUUGAGUGCUGGAGAGGCAAUCGGAAUUCCGGGUGUAGCGGUGAAAUGCGUAGAUAUACGGAGGAACACCAGUGGCGAAGGCGGAUUGCUGGACAGUAACUGACGCUGAGGCGCGAAAGCGUGGGGAGCAAACAGGAUUAGAUACCCUUGUAGUC